Molecule: transfer RNA, 70 nt
Filed under: Marmota marmota marmota (Alpine marmot)
Lineage: Eukaryota; Metazoa; Chordata; Mammalia; Rodentia; Sciuridae
Also listed under: 1 other name
Rfam family: tRNA
About the family: Transfer RNA (tRNA) molecules are approximately 80 nucleotides in length.
Source: Rfam by way of RNAcentral
GUGGUUGUGGCUCAGUGGUAGAGCACUCGCCUAGCACUGUAGGGUGCUGGGUUCAAUUCUCAGCACCACA